GUGAACGCUGGCGGUAGGCCUAACACAUGCAAGUCGAACGGCAGCACAGUAAGAGCUUGCUCUUACGGGUGGCGAGUGGCGGACGGGUGAGGAAUACAUCGGAAUCUACUUUUUCGUGGGGGAUAACGUAGGGAAACUUACGCUAAUACCGCAUACGGCCUACGGGUGAAAGCAGGGGAUCUUCGGACCUUGCGCGAUUGAAUGAGCCGAUGUCGGAUUAGCUAGUUGGCGGAGUAAAGGCCCACCAAGGCGACGAUCCGUAGCUGGUCUGAGAGGAUGAUCAGCCACACUGGAACUGAGACACGGUCCAGACUCCUACGGGAGGCAGCAGUGGGGAAUAUUGGACAAUGGGCGCAAGCCUGAUCCAGCCAUACCGCGUGGGUGAAGAAGGCCUUCGGGUUGUAAAGCCCUUUUGUUGGGAAAGAAAAGCAGCAGGUUAAUACCCCGCUGUUCUGACGGUACCCAAAGAAUAAGCACCGGCUAACUUCGUG
This 491-nucleotide ribosomal RNA is filed under the name uncultured bacterium. Its description in RNAcentral is "partial 16S ribosomal RNA". It matches the Rfam family "Bacterial small subunit ribosomal RNA", at positions 29 to 507 of the family's 1533-position model. The record is from RNAcentral.